RNAcentral lists this ribosomal RNA (428 nucleotides) under uncultured bacterium. Its description in RNAcentral is "bacterial SSU rRNA". It matches the Rfam family "Bacterial small subunit ribosomal RNA", at positions 356 to 774 of the family's 1533-position model. The record is from RNAcentral.
CGAGAAUCUUCCACAAUGGACGAAAGUCUGAUGGAGCGACGCCGCGUGAGUGAUGAAGGCCCUACGGGUUGUAAAACUCUGUCAGGAGAGAAGAAUCGCCGGGGUGCCAAUACCACCCUGGUCUGACGUUAUCUCCAGAGGAAGCUCCGGCUAACUCCGUGCCAGCAGCCGCGGUAAUACGGGGGGAGCAAGCGUUGUCCGGAAUUAUUGGGCGUAAAGGGCGUGUAGGCGGCCUGGUCAGUCGAAUGUGAAAUCCCACGGCUCAACCGUGGAACUGCGUUCGAUACUGCCUGGCUUGAGUAUGUGAGAGGUGUGCGGAAUUCCUGGUGUAGCGGUGGAAUGCGUAGAUAUCAGGAAGAACACCGAUGGCGAAGGCAGCACACUGGCGCAAUACUGACGCUGAGGCGCGAAAGCGUGGGGAGCAAACA